This 73-nucleotide transfer RNA is filed under the name Heterocephalus glaber (naked mole-rat). It matches the Rfam family "tRNA". From Rfam's summary of the family: Transfer RNA (tRNA) molecules are approximately 80 nucleotides in length. Their secondary structure includes four short double-helical elements and three loops (D, anti-codon, and T loops). The record is from Rfam by way of RNAcentral. Lineage: Eukaryota; Metazoa; Chordata; Mammalia; Rodentia; Bathyergidae.
GGGGAUGUAGCUCAGUGGUCUAAAGCAUGCCUAGCAUGCAUGAGGCCCUGGGUUCAAUCCCCCAGCAGUCCCC